UACGUAGGGGGCUAGCGUUGUCCGGAAUUAUUGGGCGUAAAGCGAACGUAGGCGGCCUUUUAAGUUUGGUCUUAAAGACCGGGGCUCAACCCCGGGAAUGGACUGAAUACUGGGAGGCUGGAGGAUGUCAGAGGAAAGUGGAAUUCCCAGUGUAGCGGUGAAAUGCGUAGAUAUCAAGAGGAACACCUGCGGCGAAGGCGGGUUGCUGGGCCGACACUGACGCUGAUGCGCGAAAGCUAGGGGAGCGAACGGG
Molecule: ribosomal RNA, 253 nt
Filed under: uncultured bacterium
Lineage: Bacteria
Description: partial 16S ribosomal RNA
Rfam family: Bacterial small subunit ribosomal RNA
Source: RNAcentral